RNAcentral lists this non-coding RNA (23 nucleotides) under Arabidopsis thaliana (thale cress). Lineage: Eukaryota; Viridiplantae; Streptophyta; Magnoliopsida; Brassicales; Brassicaceae. The record is from RNAcentral.
GGUCAUCACGGCGGUUCUGAUAA